UUAUCCUUAGUAUAAUAUAAUACAAUUCCCUUCCAAGGAAAAAAUUGACUCGCUCAACGAUACA
This 64-nucleotide transfer RNA is filed under the name Typosyllis antoni. RNAcentral describes it as "tRNA-Gly". Lineage: Eukaryota; Metazoa; Annelida; Polychaeta; Phyllodocida; Syllidae. The record is from RNAcentral.